This 74-nucleotide transfer RNA is filed under the name Fomitopsis schrenkii. RNAcentral describes it as "tRNA-Lys (TTT) (tRNA-Lys-TTT-1-1)". It matches the Rfam family "tRNA". From Rfam's summary of the family: Transfer RNA (tRNA) molecules are approximately 80 nucleotides in length. Their secondary structure includes four short double-helical elements and three loops (D, anti-codon, and T loops). Lineage: Eukaryota; Fungi; Basidiomycota; Agaricomycetes; Polyporales; Fomitopsidaceae. The record is from RNAcentral.
GCCCGCCUAGCUCAAUCGGAUAGAGCGUGAGACUUUUAAUCUCAAGGCUGCGAGUUCGAGCCUCGCGGUGGGCU